Long non-coding RNA from Stomoxys calcitrans (stable fly), 1737 nucleotides. RefSeq lists it as uncharacterized. NCBI's taxonomy places the organism in Eukaryota, Metazoa, Arthropoda, Insecta, Diptera, Muscidae. The record is from RefSeq and is a predicted model, not a curated record. The transcript is spliced from 5 exons.
UUAAACACUUGGUUUAGUCAUUGAAUUGUUGGAAUCGGCAAAUGGACCAAUAGAAAUGGAAAUAUUCUAAGUAUGACCUACGAAAAAGUUGGACAACUAUUAGAUGUGUCACAUAUUCUUCUUCUAAAUAAACCUGUGAUACAAAGUUUCAAGAAACACUAAGCGGAUUAUACAAGAGGAGAGUAGGAAAAAGGAUCAACAUGUCCAAGGGAAGCGAAGUAGCAGCUUUAAGGCAAAGCCCGUAGAUAUUUGAUCGAAAGUAGUGCGCUGAUAGAGUAGUUACAAGAAAAUAAUAUCGUGAAUUGCGAUCGGUAAACUUGCUGUAACAAAUUAUACAUUUGAGAAGAACUCAACGCUACGGUUUUGCCCAGUACUGCAUUUGUUAAGCUUAAUGAUGGCAAUAAACAGCACUUGUGUCUUGUGUGUAUUUUUCAAUUAAUUGUUUGUCACAAUUAAGGGCUACAGUAUCAACAACGGCACUUGACCCUUAGAAAGUGCCAUCAUUCUACACUUUGCACUGCUCCUCACGCCCGCCAUGUGUCUGACAACUACUGUGCCAAUUCGGGUUUUGAAAACAUUCGAUAUGCCUUUAGAGGUAGACACUUUGCAAAGGCUUUUGCCAGCAAGAGGGUGUUGACUAAUGCGUUUGUGGUGACAAAGUCCUUUACUCAUCAUUAUCACCCAAGCAGAAACUGUGGCAAAAAUAUGUAUCCCAGAGUCGUAUGGGCAAUAGCCAAAGGAAGUUUCAUCCCAAAAUACAUUUAAAAGCCAUUGUCCAAUGUUGGCAUCAAUCUUGUUCCAUAUUUUUUGUGUGGGCACACGUGCCUUGGCAUUUCAUGAGUUUCGUAAACAAUCGCAAGGAGUGUGGCUUCCCCAAAAUCAGACAAUGGCAUUGAGAACAAGUGAUUUUAAAACUUUGAAACGCCUCUGGAUUCCCAGGGAUUUGGAAAUAAAGUUUGUCAUGACACGUGGCCUUCAGUGGUUUAACACGCACGCAUUCACACACAGUACACCCAUUGAUACAGCACAGCUCUUAAUAUGUCUCUGUGUGGAGACAGACAUAUUCCACAAAGGAUUCAUUUUUGCUACUGUCGUCUGAAUUUUAAUGUUUUUCAAUUUAUCAAUUUUAGCGCAACAUAUGUAAAAUGGCAAUAAAUGGAUAUUCUGACUUCCAAAUGUUUAACUUUUCACACUUUACUGCAAUGGAUGGAUGCCAAGGAGAGAUAAGCAAUAAGCAUAGAAAGAGUUGGUAGCUUGCUGGGAUUACCAGUGCGGGAGUCGUGGUUUCGAUUCUCACCAAAAGCCUGGUCUGAUUAGAAAAAAAUAGAACUGCCCCUCUAAUCUCACCUAACCUUACAUCUAAUGGCGUUUAUUUGCCUGUGCUGGUGUUCUGUAAGAUUUCGCUAUCCAGUGUAUUUUUUUCUAGAAGUAUCUCUUACAUAUAAAAUUGAAUUUCUGUUUGUUUGUUUGUCGGUUUGUUUGUUCCGUAAAGACUCAAAAACGGUUGAAACGAUUAUCUUGAAAUUUUCACAGAUUGUAUAGGUUGGUCUGGAAGGAAACAUAGGCUAUAUAAUUUUUUGAUAUCGGAACGGGGUCGGACCCUCCCCCUUACCCCAGAAGUACUACCCAAAAAUAAAAGUGGACCGAUCGGGACAGUAUGGGAUUCAAAUGAAAGUUAUUCAAAGGCAGAAUACAAAGUUGGCUCUGAGUAACUGGGGGGCCGCCCAAGCCCCAAAA